GGGUGAAACAAAAGAGAAACUCAUGGAGGGAAUAAAUUUAAGAAUGGUAUGCUUCAGUCUGCAUCCAGACUCUGUCAGUUCCUUCUUUGGCAAUGAUUAGCCUUUUUUUGUGUUGAGUUCCAUGAAGUUGUUUUGGAUUCUUGCACUGAUGAUGAAGUUAAGUCAUUCACAAUUGAUCAUUGUACUUUAUUGCUUUUACUGUGUCUAGUGUUCUGAUUCUGCUUUCUUCACUUAGCAUAACCACAUAUAGGAUUUUCUAGACUUUUUAGUAAUGAUCUUAUAUUGUUUUAAUAUAUGCAACCUCAGAACCAUUUUUUUGCUUAAUGCUAAAUUUUACAACAUUGAUUAUUAUUUACUACCUGCCUAUGAAACACAGGGAGAACUGCAGUAGAUUAAAAAUAUAAAUUAAUGAUUUAUCAUAUAAUUAUUUAAUUUAAUUAAUGAAAAGAAUAAUGAAUAGAAGUGAAUUUACUCUUACAGAUACACUAAAAGAGAAUAAAGGAAUGGAAGAAACAACAUAUAUGAUUACAAAAUUUAUCUUUGCAAACUUGACUACCAUCGUUCUGUCAUUUGAGAGGCAUGGGUAUAGUAAGUUCACGUGUAUAAGGUUUGCUGCUGCUUUUCCCAGGCUGAGAUUUGGGAUUUGCUUUGGCACUGCCUGUGCUAGACUCUGCUUCACUAUCAUCCCAGUGAUAAAGUUGGUUCUGCCUCUACCGAAUUGUUUUGAGAUGUUAUUCUAACACUGUUUGAAGGGAAUAUGGGAGAGUUCAGGGAUUCCCAUGGUAAUGCUGGCUCUGCCAUGUUGUUACUAAUGAUGACACAGAUGCCAGAGGGACACCAGAAUCCAAAUGGAAGAAAUGCUAUGGAAACAAUUCAUUUAUGAUGCUAGCAGCUUUAUGGAGCAUCUUUUGGGAACUGAAGGUGUACUUAUGUCUCAAGGGAAAGCUGAGAGAAUAAUUGUGGCAUAAGUUCAUUUAAGACUCUUCUAGCUGGCUUUCCUAAUAUGGAGCUUCUGUUUUAUACCUUAUACAUCCCAUACCUGGCUGUGUAUCAUUGCCAACUUUGUCCUGGCAUUAAUUAAUUAAUACUUGAAAGGAGGGGGGCACUUUUCCCUUAUUUUAGUCAUGCCCCCCUUCUUUUUUCUUUCAUGACAAUUUUUCCAUAAUCACAAAAGGUGAUACAAUCAUUAGACAAAUGCUGGAACAUAUAGGAAUUAAAAUCAAAUAGAUGACUACUGAGUUUAUCAACUACAUGUAACUAGUGACAAGGUCUUUGAAAAUAUAUGAGGUUAUGAGAAUAAUGGAAAAAUUUUGCAGUAGUAGCUUAUGAAACAAAAGUAUAAGUCUAAUUAGUGGCAUUGGUAAGGUUAAGUUUGGUUGUUAAAUUAGUUAUCAGAAGAGAAGAAUGACUUAUGAUCUCAUUACCUCAACAAGAUAUUCAGUCAGUUAGGUGUGGAAUUUAAUUUGGUAUUAAUUGUUGUAUAUAUAAAGCAUAAUCAGAAAGUACAGAAGAAUUCAAAGGGAUUUGAAACAAGUUUGUGUUUUUAAGACUUUAAUAUUAGUGAAAUAUCUAAUCCAUUUUAGCAAUGUUAUUGGCAACUAAAUUGAUUUCUUUUUAGAUAGACUCCUCUCCAUGGCCCUUUGUUAAAAUGAACUUAGAAUUAAGAACAAAUUCUUCCAUGUGAUUUAAAAGAACAUUGUUAUUAGAUCACCUCAUUCUUCUUGGGAGAGAAAUGAGGCUCUUGAUAGUAUCUUAUUUUCCUCUGGGUAGA
Monodelphis domestica (gray short-tailed opossum) is the source of this 1771-nucleotide long non-coding RNA. NCBI's taxonomy places the organism in Eukaryota, Metazoa, Chordata, Mammalia, Didelphimorphia, Didelphidae. The record is from Ensembl.